This 258-nucleotide ribosomal RNA is filed under the name uncultured bacterium. Its description in RNAcentral is "partial 16S ribosomal RNA". It matches the Rfam family "Bacterial small subunit ribosomal RNA", at positions 87 to 339 of the family's 1533-position model. The record is from RNAcentral.
CGAGUAUACUGGCGCACGGGUGAGUAAUGUGUAAGUAACCUACCUAUGGGACGGGGAUAACCUUGAGAAAUUGGGGCUAAUACUGGAUAACGCAACAUCAUCGCAUGGUGGAGUUGUUAAAGUUGCUUCGGUAACACCUAUGGACGGGCUUGCAUUCGAUUAGCUUGUUGGUGAGGUAAUGGCUCACCAAGGCUACGAUCGAUAGCUGGUCUGAGAGGAUGAUCAGCCACACUGGAACUGAGACACGGUCCAGACUCC